RNAcentral lists this transfer RNA (62 nucleotides) under Alectorobius guaporensis. RNAcentral describes it as "tRNA-Arg". The record is from RNAcentral. Lineage: Eukaryota; Metazoa; Arthropoda; Arachnida; Ixodida; Argasidae.
AAAAAUGAAGCAAUCAUUGCAAUCAGUUUCGGCCUGAUCCUAGGACCCCCCCCCCAUUUUUA